ACACGGUCCAGACACCUACCGGGUGGCAGCAGUCGAGAAUNAUUCACAAUGGGGGAAACCCUGAUGGUGCAACGCCGCGUGGAGGAUGAAGGUCUUCGGAUUGUAAACUCCUGUCAUCGGGGAGUAAGACCUGACGGUAAAUAGCCGGCAGGGUUGAUAGUACCCGAAGAGGAAGGGACGGCUAACUUCGUGCCAGCAGCCGCGGUAAUACGAAGGUCSCAAGCGUUGUUCGGAAUCACUGGGCSUAAAGGGAGCGUAGGCGGCGUGGUAAGUCAGAUGUGAAAUCCCGGGGCUCAACCCCGGAACUGCAUCCGAUACUGCCAUGCUUGAGGGUUGGAGAGGUAGCUGGAAUUCUCGGUGUAGCAGUGAAAUGCGUGGAUAUCGAGAGGAACACUCGUGGCGAAGGCGAGCUACUGGACAACAUCUGACGCUGAGGCUCGAAGGCUAGGGGAGCAAAAGGGAUUAGAUACCCCUGUAGUCCUAGCAGUAAACGGUGUGCGCUUGGUGUGAGGGGAUUCGACCCCCCUUGUGCCGGAGCUAACGCGUUAAGCGCACCGCCUGGGAAGUACGGCCGCAAGGCUAAAACUCAAAGAAAUUGACGGGGACCCGCACAAGCGGUGGAGUAUGUGGCUUAAUUGGAUGCAACGCGAAGAACCUUACCAAGGCUUGACAUGGGUUCUAAGCACGUGAAGCUGCCUUCGGGGGACUUCCACAGGUGCUGCAUGGCCGUCGUCAGCUCGUGUCGUGAGAUGUUGGGUUAAGUCCCGCAACGAGCGCAACCCCUGUGAUUAGUUGCCAGCACGUAAUGGUGGGGACUCUAAUCAGACUGCCCAGAUCAACUGGGAGGAAGGUGGGGACGACGUCAGGUCAGUAUGGCCCUUACGCCUUGGGCUGCACACGUACUACAAUGCCCAGCACAAUGAGAACCGAGACCGCGAGGUGGAGGAAAUCUAUAAAACUGGGCCCAGUUCGGAUUGGAGGCUGCAACUCGCCUCCAUGAAGCCGGAAUCGCUAGUAAUGCUGCAUCAGCUACGGCAGCGUGAAUACGUUCCCGGGUCUUGUACACACCGCCCGUCACAUACAUGGAAGCCGGUAGCA
This 1098-nucleotide ribosomal RNA is filed under the name Verrucomicrobiaceae bacterium ZNBB5 UNDR-2009. RNAcentral describes it as "bacterial SSU rRNA". It matches the Rfam family "Bacterial small subunit ribosomal RNA", at positions 324 to 1419 of the family's 1533-position model. Lineage: Bacteria; Pseudomonadati; Verrucomicrobiota; Verrucomicrobiia; Verrucomicrobiales; Verrucomicrobiaceae. The record is from RNAcentral.